This 497-nucleotide ribosomal RNA is filed under the name uncultured bacterium. Its description in RNAcentral is "partial 16S ribosomal RNA". It matches the Rfam family "Bacterial small subunit ribosomal RNA", at positions 28 to 507 of the family's 1533-position model. The record is from RNAcentral.
GAUGAACGCUGGCGGCGUGCCUAAUACAUGCAAGUCGAGCGAACAGACGAGGAGCUUGCUCCCCUGACGUUAGCGGCGGACGGGUGAGUAAAACGUGGAUAACCUACCUAUAAGACUGGGAUAACUUCGGGAAACCGGAGCUAAUACCGGAUAAUAUAUUGAACCGCAUGGUUCAAUAGUGAAAGACGGUUUUGCUGUCACUUAUAGAUGGAUCCGCGCCGCAUUAGCUAGUUGGUAAGGUAACGGCUUACCAAGGCAACGAUGCGUAGCCGACCUGAGAGGGUGAUCGGCCACACUGGAACUGAGACACGGUCCAGACUCCUACGGGAGGCAGCAGUAGGGAAUCUUCCGCAAUGGGCGAAAGCUUGACGGAGCAACGCCGCGUGAGUGAUGAAGGUCUUCGGAUCGUAAAACUCUGUUAUUAGGGAAGAACAAAUGUGUAAGUAACUAUGCACGUCUUGACGGUACCUAAUCAGAAAGCCACGGCUAACUACGUG